UGGGGAAUAUUGCGCAAUGGGGGAAACCCUGACGCAGCGACGCCGUGUGAGGGAAGAAGGCUUUCGGGUCGUAAACCUCUGUCGGGAAGGAAGAACCCCGUCGGGUCCCAAUAGGGCUCGAGGCUGACGGUACUUCCAAAGGAAGCACCGGCUAACUCCGUGCCAGCAGCCGCGGUAAUACGGAGGUGCAAGCGUUAAUCGGAAUCACUGGGCGUAAAGCGCGCGUAGGCGGCCUUUUAAGUCGGACGUGAAAGCCCUCGGCUCAACCGGGGAAUUGCGUUCGAUACUGGGAGGCUUGAGUCCUGGAGAGGGUGGCGGAAUUCCGGGGUGUAGGAGUGAAAUCCGUAGAUAUCCGGAGGAACACCGGUGGCGAAGGCGGCCACCUGGACCAGGUACCGGACG
This 402-nucleotide ribosomal RNA is filed under the name uncultured bacterium. RNAcentral describes it as "bacterial SSU rRNA". It matches the Rfam family "Bacterial small subunit ribosomal RNA", at positions 355 to 745 of the family's 1533-position model. The record is from RNAcentral.